CUUUGGGAUAACAUGUUGUGUUUUCUGUUGCCACAGGACUCACCUGCAGGAAAGCUUGGUGCUCCUGAGAAGAUCCAACCACAGGCAGAAAAGAUGAGCAGACCAAAAAGCACCACAAUGGACUCACCUGCAGGAAAGCUUGGUGCUGCUGAGAAGAUCCAACCACAGGCAGAAAGGAUGAACAGACCAAAAGGCACCAUAAUGGUAGGGAAGGAGGGCAGUGUUGGAAAUUUCACCAUUGGGAAAUUUCAUACUUGAAAAAUUCCCUAUUGAUAGUGGGUCUUGGCUAUUGGAAUGUGAACCCCUUUGGCAUGAGAGUUUCCCCCUCCUCCCUUCUUAAGAUUACUUUAGGACAGAAACCUUUUGCUGAACAAUGGAAAGGACUUUGACCUAUGCUUAAGCAUAGAACAGGAAUUUCUUUGAGUCAUGAUUGAUUUUAGAAUUGAUACAAUGGAGAUACUUGGAAUCAAUCUCCACCCUACUCAGUCCUAACAGGAUUAAGGAAGGGCUGCAGCAUAGAUCAAAAUUUAAUUAUUCCAAUCUCUACCCUACUCAAGUUAACAGGAUUUAGGAAGGGCUGUAGCAAAGUAUCAAAGAUUUAAUUAUUUGAAAAUAUGACCUUCAACAGACAUGUGCAAAGCCAGAGACCUCUGGGCAGUCCUGGGUUAAGCUAGAGCCUCCAUUGGCACAGGGAAAUUGAUGGACAGUGAUUGGUAGAUGUGAGAACUGAGGGGAGGCAACUUGGAUGGUUUCCUUAAAGAGAGAGGGGUCUGAAGACUCAGGGGAUGGUUUUAGGAGUUUGUUGGAGUGGUUGCGGUGUGCUCUGAGAAGCUUGCUCUGAAGGAAGCUGAAAGUGGGGCUCUGAGACUGUUUCUCCAUUUUGGUCACGUGAGUAAUAGGGACUGAUCUCCUUUCUUUGCCCCAGCUAUCUAAGGGCUUGGGCCUUUUGGCCCAGCCUAAACAGAAGGGGUAUUUAAGCCCUAUUCCUUUCUCUCCCCUUUCUCUCUACCUCUAUCUCUCUAUCUCUAAUUCCUUUCUUCCUCCUGUUUGUAAUUAAAACUCCAUAAAAGGUUGACGGCUGACUUGAGUUUUCAUUUAGGAAUUACAUAGCUGAAUUCCUUGGCGACCUUAAAUUAAUAUAUAUCAGUCUUUUAAAAGUUAUUUCCUUCUCACAGCAGUGAAGGACAAUCACUUUGUAAACCUAGAUACACAUCCUUUAUCACACAGGUAUCCCUCCUCUAUAAUUAGAUAAAGGCUGAAAUCCUAUAACAAAGCUUAUUUGUAAGCUUGCUUCACUAUAUCCAACCUAACUAUACUGCUACCAAAGCCAGGUUGCACUUUCUCUCAUACUCACUCCAGAAAAGGCCCCUUAUUUCUCCAUGUAAGCUACCCUUUAAAAAAUAUACCUUUAAUAGGAGCCUGAGAUUCACCACCUAGACCUUGGGACUAUGUCAGGAUCUGCUUGACAAAUUAUUUUUGGGUCAACAAACCGGGAUGAGAAAAAUGAUUCUGGGAUUACAGGAGGACCCAACUGACAGACUGACAGAUGGAAACGUAGAUAUCCUCUUGCUGACCAGUGACAAAGUUCAAUGGUUUGGGGUACACACUUUGUAGGAAAAAUGACAUAGAAGACAAUGGUUAGAAGACAAUGAUUAGUAAUGAUUUAUAAGAGAGCACAAUGGAUUUAGUUUACCUCAGUGGUUCUGAAAAGAGUUUUCUAUAGUGAUAAUUCAAUCUGCCAAUGUGUAACCAUCUAACAAAGUUUCUCACAGAAUUCUUGCACCAGUGAUUUCUUGGAAGAACAUCUAAUAUUUGUUAAGGAGUAAAGUUUGCUUUUCUCAUACUAAGGAGUAGGCUGCAUGUUUAGCAACUCCUAAACUAUGACUGUGAUUUUACUGAGACCUAUUCUCACUACUGGGAGCUUCAUUUGCUCCUUUUUUAUUCAAAUGUAACAAAUGAAGGCAUGGUAAGUGAGUGUAUGAUUUGUAUGAAUUGUGUAAGGCUGGAAAGCUAAAUUCCAAUUCUAUUUGCUUGGAAAUGGAGCUUUUGAAAUUUUAUUUUUUGCUAGGGUCUUUUUUCAGAAUGUCUCAAAAUAUGUUGUGUGUGCUGACCAUAGUGCUUUGUUAUAGGCAGACAUUUCUCCACAGCUUUAGCAUAGGCGCUAAGAUGACUUCCACUUAGGGGUCUUUCUUGGCCUCAAAUCAGGUGGUCCAAUCCUAGGGUUACUAAGACUGCCUCCCCAACAAGACAUUUCCUCUGAACUUUUGAAUAGCCUUAGUUGAAUUGUUAGGCUUGCUAAGGCUUUCAUUGAGACUCAAGUUCCUUUUGCCUUUAUGACAAACAUCACCUAACACAACUUAAGAUAGCUACUCUUAUUAGGGCUGAUUCUUUUAGCACCCAAUUCUUGGUUCCAUAAGCCAAGCAAAUAUUGACUUCUCCUUUACUUAUAAGUCAAAUUUGUUUAAUUUCUAAGUGUUCAUGCUAUUAUGUUGCUAAGGAUUAUGUUUAGCAUUUAUCUUUUCUUCCUAAUCAAAUAUGCAGUGUUUGGUGUAAGAUGUUUGUGCUAAGUCUUGCAAAGUGUGGAUCUAUUAUGCUGUGCUAUCUUCUGGUGGAAUAAGUGUGAGGUUAAUUGAGCUAAUAGAAGGGGAAAUACACUUUGAAAACUUACAUUUGAUACAAAAAUAAUUAUAGCUAAUAUCAGAAUACAAGGCUCUACAUCAUUAUAAAUUACAUUUUUCAAGGGAGCUGAAUCCCAACAAUAGUUAAGAUUGAUCAGUCUUGGGAAGGCUUGCCAUCUCCAGGAAUUGUUCUGCCAUGUGAACUGUUCUUUCUUUUGGCUUGUCUCCAAAUCAUGGGCUUUGGUGACUUGAGUCUUCAGAAUAGUCAUCUGGAUUUUUCAUAUUUGGCUAUUCCUGAAAGAUUCUCUGCUGUGGGUGUUCAUUUCCUGUGUAAAUAAAAACAAAACCUCAAUUCUGGGUUGUUUUUUG
RNAcentral lists this long non-coding RNA (2987 nucleotides) under Monodelphis domestica (gray short-tailed opossum). RNAcentral's name for it is "lncRNA (ENSMODG00000038033.1)". The record is from RNAcentral. Lineage: Eukaryota; Metazoa; Chordata; Mammalia; Didelphimorphia; Didelphidae.